CCCACACACUUGCACUCAUUUCUCCUUCUUUCCUUUCUUUUCAUUUAACUCUCUCUUCUGUAAACCCAGCGAGCCUUACCUCGCUUUCUCCCUCAGCUCUGUACACGCUGCACGGAAGGUGCAGCAGCACCAAUCCAAUAUCACCAUCGCCGCUCCAGCGAGCUCAACAGGAAUUGCUAAACCACACCAGACCACCAUGUCAUAUAUAUAUAUAUAUAUAUAUAUAUAUAUCUCUCUCUCUCUCUCUGGCACUCUCCCCUCUCUAUGAAAUCAUCAGUGCCACCUCGCCUCACCGACUCUGACGACGUCGUCGAUUCCACUCUUUUCCGUGAACCAGCACCAUCAUCAUCACUUCAUUCAUUUUCUCAAACCCAGGCCAAAACCCUUAAAUUUCGACAGUGACAGAGACCAAUGUACACUAAACCUCCGACGAACCACUGGUGAGUUUCGAUAAUUCCGAGCAAGAAACCAUCUCGGGGGAAAAUUUUCCCAAAUUCCGACGAAGGACCCGCGGGGUUACAGGUAUUUCCCGGCUAACUCCAGCCACGGCUCAGCCCCAAUUAGGAUUUUAGUGGCAGAGGUUUUGUGACGAUGAGAAUUGCUUGUAAAAGCUAUCAUGUAGAAGACUUCUCCUUUCGAGACCAAAGCUACAAUUUGCCAUUCAGGAGCCAUAGAUUAUAUUACUUGUGCCAUGAGACCUUGAGAAUGGAAGAGCUGCACCAGCAACAAGACCAAGUGAACAGAAGUCUGACCCAGUUAAGGGUAAUUUAGAGAACUGCAGUAACAGAAAGCAAUUAGCCAAAUAUGCUUAUGCACUGGUGCGGGUUCGACAAUAAGGGUACGUAAUUUGCAAAACCAAAUAAGGGUAAUUUGGGGCUUUUAAAUAUUCAUGAAAGUAUCACAGGUUACGCACCCGCUUUUUCGUAAACACGGAAUUGAAAUUAUGAUUUUUUAUACUCAUUCCUUUACACUAAGGUAGGGAUGGACUCGAAAAACCGAAAAAGAAAACGAACCAAUUGAAAACCGAAACUAAGAAAACCAAAACCGAACACAAAACUAUUAGUUCAGUUUCGUUUUUGGUGGUUCGAAAACUAAACCGAGUUUGGUAUUCAUUUUCAAGUCCAAUUUCAAGUCAACUAUUAGCUUGAUUUCUCAAAUGUUAGGUAAACCCAACUUAAAAUGUUGAAAGUCUAGUUCAUAAUAUAUUUAUUUCUUCAUUUUCUCUCCAUUUUCUAGGCUAACAAAACAAAAGAAAAAAAAACAAGAACCGAACCUGACGAAACCAAAAUAAUUCGGUUUCUUCUUUAUUAAUUGCAAAAACUGAACUGAAAUGAAUAUUAAUUUCAGUAAAAAGGUCGUACCCAGUGCACAAGGCUCCCACUUUACGCAGGGUCUGGGAGAGGUGAAUAUUAAUUUCAGUGUUGCAAAAAAAUUGAAAAGAAUAAAACUGAACCUAGAAUGCCCAAGAUCUUUAAACCAUACUCACAAUUAGAAAUAAACCUGGUAUAGAUUUUGGCUCAGCUUAGAAAUGCGAUUGAUCUCAUUCUCAACCUUGAAAGUGAGACCUGUUUGAUCUGUUCAGAGCUCUACAUUGACGGAAAUUUGUUGUGUGUGUGAUCAAAACAACAUCAUGUACCAUCAUAAGAUAUUAUUAUAAUAUGAAUAGACGACAUAUCAUAGCACAUAACAAGUGCAUAGCUUAUCUCUACUUUCUUUUCCUAUGUGUGGGUUCGAUAGGUGUAUCAUGACAUUUUUUUUAUUCAUCGAUAUUUACACGAAGGGAUGGGGAGAAUAAAUUAGUUGCGAACUCAACAUAACAAAGAUUGAAACUUAAGACUGUUGAAUUUUUGAUGUGUAUUUCAUAUCAAAACAAUUACAAGAUGAAACAUUAUAUAGGAAAAGAAAGAGAACAUAAGCCUAACUUGCCUAACUUGCCUAACUUGCCUAAUUUCCUAACUUGCC
This is a long non-coding RNA of Malus domestica (apple), 1962 nucleotides long. RefSeq lists it as uncharacterized. The record is from RefSeq and is a predicted model, not a curated record. Lineage: Eukaryota; Viridiplantae; Streptophyta; Magnoliopsida; Rosales; Rosaceae.